AUGUCAAGACUUGCGUGCGUGUGCCGGCUUUAAGUUUUUGGUCAAAUAUUUUCAAAUCGGAAAAUUCUACUUAAAAAUUAUCGUUUUUAUUGCGAAAUUGUUUUUAUAAACAAAGUAAAUGUGCGAGCUAAAGCAAUAACUUCGCAUCGUUCGAAAUAUUAGCAAAUACACGCAGGGAGCUUAUUCGCCCGGCGGAACCAGGCAAAUACUUUGACACAAUAGAAGUACAAGAUCAGUCGACUUUAAUUUGAUUAGUAACCAAUAUAUGGGAUACUGUACUGUACGCAUGUUCGACUCAAAUGUACUGAGUUUAUAAAUUCGUUGCUCAGACAAAUACAGCAUUGGUUCAAGGUCAGUGUUCCAUUAAAUCGUAUAUCUAAGUGCUGGCGAAGUGUUGUCUGAGUAUAUAGACUCUAUACUAACAAAGGGUAGAGACUUUCAUCCUGAAAUUAUUUUAGUUCCGAAACAAUGAUAAACAGAAACACGACCACUAAGUAAUAUUUUGGCGUUGUGCAAGAUAGAUGUUUCGGCACUCCAAAAGAUCCAAAAUAUUUUGAAAUGCGUGCCAACCUGUGUAAAUAUUGGUUUAUUAGUGCAUAUAUAUGUGUGUGUAGAUAAUAGUUGUUUUGGAACGAUUAAAAAUACUUAGUUCAGUGUGAACUAUGAGUCAUUUCUGUGACUCAUUUUAUGUUAUGUGCCUCAACAACAAACACAAGAAAAUCUGAUUGGAAUCUUUUGGUCAGAGAGAAUUACUGAAUAUGUACAGUUAAAACACUUAAAUUGACACCAAUGAGACUAGCAAUUAUGUGUUUAAGAAAACUAUGGGUUCAAAAGAACGUCCGUUGUGUGAAGAAUUAAUAGUGUAAAUAAGAACAGUGUGGAGUUAAGAGAAAUAUCCGUUUAUAAGAGCGUUUUUUAAACAAAGUGAUUACUGCAUAUGUAUAGAAAACAUACUGUAGUAUAUUAUAACAUAUAUGAUAUAUGUAUAUGUUCCAAUAAGUUAUUGGAACCAUUCGACUUUUAGUAACUUAUUCAGUAACAUUCUUGGCUAAAACAAGGGAGUAUGUAUUGUUACUAUGUAGAAGAUAUUAUCGUGUGUAUAAAGUAAAAAUAAAGUAAAUGUGAAGGACUUUGAAAAAGAGAGUAACAAACUUGUGAUGAAAUUGAAGAGUUUUGCUACUUCAGAAAAACCCUUGAAUGCUGCAUUUACAUAGAUUUGGAAUAGUUAAUAAUUCCUUUCGUGACAACUGAAUUUAAUUUAUCUCUGGCAAAUAAAUAAUUUUCCCUCUCUGUUUUAAUGCAGUUUGUAUUCACCUUUAAAUGAUAAAAACUAACUCCGCACUACUCUUGGGAAGGUUAAUUAUCAGGGUAAGCAAACGCAAACCAACUAUAAACACAUAAACAGGCGAUAAUUGUUAUAAUUUAUUAUAUCAGACGUGAAGUUUUUGAU
This is a long non-coding RNA of Teleopsis dalmanni, 1450 nucleotides long. RefSeq lists it as uncharacterized. The transcript is spliced from 3 exons. NCBI's taxonomy places the organism in Eukaryota, Metazoa, Arthropoda, Insecta, Diptera, Diopsidae. The record is from RefSeq and is a predicted model, not a curated record.